AGUGGCAAGUGACGAUGAAAUUAUUUAUAUGCUAAACACUGAAUCUUUUGUGGACUAAAAACUCCGCUUAUUAUCUGAUGCCACU
This is a small nucleolar RNA of Panicum virgatum (switchgrass), 85 nucleotides long. RefSeq annotates it as small nucleolar RNA R16. Lineage: Eukaryota; Viridiplantae; Streptophyta; Magnoliopsida; Poales; Poaceae. The record is from RefSeq and is a predicted model, not a curated record. The transcript has a single exon.